This 301-nucleotide ribosomal RNA is filed under the name uncultured bacterium. RNAcentral describes it as "partial 16S ribosomal RNA". It matches the Rfam family "Bacterial small subunit ribosomal RNA", at positions 509 to 807 of the family's 1533-position model. The record is from RNAcentral.
CAGUAGCCACGGUAAAACGAAGGGGGCUAGCGUUGCUCGGAAUCACUGGGCGUAAAGGGUGCGUAGGCGGGUCUUUAAGUCAGGGGUGAAAUCCUGGAGCUCAACUCCAGAACUGCCUUUGAUACUGAAGAUCUUGAGUUCGGGAGAGGUGAGUGGAACUGCGAGUGUAGAGGUGAAAUUCGUAGAUAUUCGCAAGAACACCAGUGGCGAAGGCGGCUCACUGGCCCGAUACUGACGCUGAGGCACGAAAGCGUGGGGAGCAAACAGGAUUAGAUACCCGAGUAGUCCCUGUCUCUUAUAC